CCUACGGGUGGCAGCAGUGAGGAAUCUUGGUCAAUGGGCGCGAGCCUGAACGAGCCAAGUCGCGUGAAGGAUGACUGCCCUACGGGUUGUAAACUUCUUUUAUAAAGGAAUAAAGUGAUGAACGUGUGCCUUUUUGUAUGUACUUUAUGAAUACGGAUCGGCUAACUCCGUGCCAGCAGCCGCGGUAAUACGGAGGAGCCGAGCGUUAUCCGGAUUUAUUGGGUUUAAAGGGAGCGUAGAUGGGUUGUUAAGUUAGUUGUGAAAGUUUGCGGCUCAACCGUAAAAUUGCAAUUGAUACUGGCAGACUUGAGUGCAGUUGAGGUAGGUGGAAUUCGGGGUGUAGCGGUGAAAUGCUUAGAUAUCACGAAGAACUCCGAUUGCGAAGGCAGCCUACUAAUCUGCCACUGACAUUGAUGCUCGAAAGUGUGGGUAGCAAACAGGAUUAGAUACCCUUGUAGUC
This 460-nucleotide ribosomal RNA is filed under the name uncultured bacterium. Its description in RNAcentral is "partial 16S ribosomal RNA". It matches the Rfam family "Bacterial small subunit ribosomal RNA", at positions 338 to 795 of the family's 1533-position model. The record is from RNAcentral.